UGCAGAAAUUCAGUGUGCUUUGUAGAAUCAAAUUGACAGAGUUUUGGCGCUUUUAAACUUAUGUAUAUCUCUGUUUUAUCUUCAAGUCUUCACUCCUUUAUAUAGAGGCGUGAAAGAGACGUUGAGAUAAUCAGCACGUCUAAAGAGUCGUUUGAAAUCCUUUGAUUAUCCACCAGUGAUCCUUUGCCUGAUUUGGGUGUAGUCCUUUGAAGAAUAAACUUCAAAUUCAUUCCCAUCUUGAGUUGUACAAAUUCUGCAGGCAUGGCUGUUGUUUUGUCUUGUAGCGUAGACAGAAAACAGAGUAGUGGAGGUAGUGGUUGUACACUUGUACUUUGUCAACUCUAUUAACGAGAGACAAGAGCUCAGUGCUAUCCAUAUAUCCGUUGAUACCUCCCUUUCAGUUCUUCGUUCUUCUUUGAUAAGACUGAAUUGAGAAUCAGCAACUUUGAAUCUUCAGUUUGAUUAAAGGAUCAAAUGUAGC
Molecule: long non-coding RNA, 481 nt
Filed under: Medicago truncatula (barrel medic)
Lineage: Eukaryota; Viridiplantae; Streptophyta; Magnoliopsida; Fabales; Fabaceae
Description: long non-coding RNA (MTRU_LNC000985)
Source: RNAcentral